GACGAACGCUGGCGGCGUGCUUAACACAUGCAAGUCGAACGGAAAGGCCCUGCUUUUGUGGGGUGCUCGAGUGGCGAACGGGUGAGUAACACGUGAGUAACCUGCCCUUGACUUUGGGAUAACUUCAGGAAACUGGGGCUAAUACCGGAUAGGAGCUCCUGCUGCAUGGUGGGGGUUGGAAAGUUUCGGCGUUUGGGGAUGGACUCGCGGCUUAUCAGCUUGUUGGUGGGGUAGUGGCUUACCAACGCUUUGACGGGUAGCCGGCCUGAGAGGGUGACCGGCCACAUUGGGACUGAGAUACGGCCCAGACUCCUACGGGAGGCAGCAGUGGGGAAUAUUGCACAAUGGGCGGAAGCCUGAUGCAGAAACGCCGCGUGCGGGAUGACGGCCUUCGGGUUGUAAACCGCUUUCGCCUGUGACGAAGCGUGAGUGACGGUAAUGGGUAAAGAAGCACCGGCUAACUACGUG
Molecule: ribosomal RNA, 468 nt
Filed under: uncultured bacterium
Lineage: Bacteria
Description: partial 16S ribosomal RNA
Rfam family: Bacterial small subunit ribosomal RNA
Source: RNAcentral